Molecule: transfer RNA, 66 nt
Filed under: Scraptia sp. SCR02
Lineage: Eukaryota; Metazoa; Arthropoda; Insecta; Coleoptera; Scraptiidae
Description: tRNA-Trp
Source: RNAcentral
AAGGAUUUAAGUUAAAAGAAACUCCCAACCUUCAAAGUUGGAAUUAGAGAGGCUCUCUAAGCCUUG